GGAAAAUGAAGUGAUUCAGCCCUGAGCAUACAGAGGGUUGGUCUCAGGACCUUUUCAGUCUUGAUUUGCUAAAUGAACAGAUUUCUCACUAUCAGAGACCUGCACCAGAUAAUGAUCCUGAGGCUGACACCUUGCUGUUACACUGGUGUUAAUGUGCUGGUGUUAACUGGUUGUGGCUGCCAGUCCCCCACAUGGGAAGGAGCACAGACACCUUUGGAAACCACAUCCCAAGCCUCUGGCCUUUGGUGGAGCAGCUGUUGAGACUACAGUAUCUCAACCCCAGAUAAGAUUGUCGCGUCCAAGACAGACACAAUGGGGGAACUGCAAGGGAAAACGACUUCUGAUCAGCAGCAGGCUUCUCCAUCACCAUAGGACCUUACAACCACAAAUAGCCAAGUGCAUGCCUAAAGCUGAGCAAUGGGAAGGACGGACUCAGAACAGCUGUAGAGAUUCACAGGGAAG
Molecule: long non-coding RNA, 462 nt
Filed under: Gallus gallus (chicken)
Lineage: Eukaryota; Metazoa; Chordata; Aves; Galliformes; Phasianidae
Description: long non-coding RNA NONGGAT001321
Source: RNAcentral